Molecule: ribosomal RNA, 461 nt
Filed under: uncultured bacterium
Lineage: Bacteria
Description: partial 16S ribosomal RNA
Rfam family: Bacterial small subunit ribosomal RNA
Source: RNAcentral
UAGGGAAUCUUCCACAAUGGACGCAAGUCUGAUGGAGCAACGCCGCGUGAGUGAAGAAGGCUUUCGGGUCGUAAAACUCUGUUAUUGAAGAAGAACGUGCGUGACAGUAACUGGUCAUGCAGUGACGGUAUUCAAUCAGAAAGUCACGGCUAACUACGUGCCAGCAGCCGCGGUAAUACGUAGGUGGCAAGCGUUGUCCGGAUUUAUUGGGCGUAAAGCGAGUGCAGGCGGUCUUUUAAGUCUGAUGUGAAAGCCUUCGGCUUAACCGAAGAAGGGCAUCGGAAACUGGGAGACUUGAGUGCAGAAGAGGAGAGUGGAACUCCAUGUGUAGCGGUGAAAUGCGUAGAUAUAUGGAAGAACACCAGUGGCGAAGGCGGCUCUCUGGUCUGUAACUGACGCUGAGGCUCGAAAGCGUGGGUAGCAAACAGGAUUAGAUACCCUGGUAGUCCACGCCGUAAACG